Molecule: unclassified non-coding RNA, 889 nt
Filed under: Hevea brasiliensis (rubber tree)
Lineage: Eukaryota; Viridiplantae; Streptophyta; Magnoliopsida; Malpighiales; Euphorbiaceae
Source: RNAcentral
CUCUCUCUCUCUCUCUCUCAUGGCCACCCAGGAAGAGGGUAUCAAGCUCUUUGGCACAACAAUCACGUUGCAUGCUAGACAAGUUAAAGAAGAUCAAAAUAAAGAAAAUCCAUCGCCUGAAAAGAGGCCGGAGAAGAUCAUACCAUGCCCUAGAUGCAAGAGCAUGGAGACUAAAUUUUGUUACUUCAACAACUAUAAUGUUAACCAGCCUAGGCACUUCUGCAAGGGCUGCCAGAGGUACUGGACUGCAGGUGGAGCUCUUCGUAAUGUUCCCGUUGGUGCGGGCCGACGGAAAACCAAGCCACCAGGCCGUGGUGGGCUUGGUGGGUUCCCAGAAGGGUGCUUGUAUGAUGGCUCAGGUGAUAUGCAUCAGAUUGAGCUGGAUAGUGAGAUGCUGGUUGAGGAGUGGCACGUGGCCGCCCACGGUGGUUUCCGGCAUGUUUUCCCUGUGAAGCGUCGGAGGAGUAGUUCAGGUUGUCAAACUUGUUGAUUUUGACAUUUUGUCUUUAUCUUCAAAGAGAAUAUAUAUGCACACAGAAACUGAAUUUUAUUUAUUAAGAAAAAAAUUAACCUUCAAAUCUAGUUUUUGUUUUAAUUAAUUUUAAUAAAAUUUAAAAAACUUGCAUAAGAUGUUCAUCUUAAUUUCAUCUUUUUUUUUCACAGUUAUGUGCAACUACCUGAUCUUGAUUAUUAGUACUUUUGUAAUAUAUUUAUAGAUGAUCAGAAAUAGUAAAUAAUUAUUCAAUUAAUUAGCAGGGAUCGAUCUUGUAUAUAUUUAGGGAUGGUGUUUGCAUAUUGCUGUUAAACAUGAAUGAUUAAUCAUAUUUGGGUGUUGAGAGAUGUAUAUUAACAGCUGACCAUAGGGAUUCAUGUAAACUAUGGGUAGGUC